CCUACGGGUGGCAGCAGUGAGGAAUAUUGGUCAAUGGACGAGAGUCUGAACCAGCCAAGUAGCGUGAAGGAUGACUGCCCUAUGGGUUGUAAACUUCUUUUAUAUGGGAAUAAAAUGUUCCACGUGUGGCUUUUUGUAUGUACCAUAUGAAUAAGUAUCGGCUAACUCCGUGCCAGCAGCCGCGGUAAUACGGAGGAUCCGAGCGUUAUCCGGAUUUAUUGGGUUUAAAGGGAGCGUAGGUGGAUUGUUAAGUCAGUUGUGAAAGUUUGCGGCUCAACCGUAAAAUUGCAGUUGAAACUGGCAGUCUUGAGUACAGUAGAGGUGGGCGGAAUUCGUGGUGUAGCGGUGAAAUGCUUAGAUAUCACGAAGAACUCCGAUUGCGAAGGCAGCUCACUGGACUGCAACUGACACUGAGGCUCGAAAGUGUGGGUAUCAAACAGGAUUAGAUACCCCGGUAGUC
Molecule: ribosomal RNA, 460 nt
Filed under: uncultured bacterium
Lineage: Bacteria
Description: partial 16S ribosomal RNA
Rfam family: Bacterial small subunit ribosomal RNA
Source: RNAcentral